This 24-nucleotide non-coding RNA is filed under the name Arabidopsis thaliana (thale cress). The record is from RNAcentral. Lineage: Eukaryota; Viridiplantae; Streptophyta; Magnoliopsida; Brassicales; Brassicaceae.
GAAUGUAGUUUCAAAUUAUGCCUA